Molecule: transfer-messenger RNA, 355 nt
Filed under: Methanoculleus sp.
Lineage: Archaea; Methanobacteriati; Methanobacteriota; Methanomicrobia; Methanomicrobiales; Methanomicrobiaceae
Also listed under: 3 other names
Rfam family: transfer-messenger RNA
About the family: Bacterial tmRNA, also known as 10Sa RNA or SsrA, is named for its dual tRNA and mRNA-like properties. Its role is to liberate the mRNA from a stalled ribosome.
Source: RNAcentral
GGGGGUGAAGUGGUUUCGACAGGGAACCAGUGUGGUAGUAAUGCAUGCCGGAGAUGCUAUCUCCUCCGUCAAGAAGUAGCAAAAAACAAAAUAACUGCAAACGAUAAUUUGCUCUUAGCUGCUUAAAUGCAGCUACGUCCGCUCUUUUCGUGCCAUCGGGAAAGAUGUCGGGCGUCAUAACAGUAUGGCUGCUCGCAGAUUGACCGUCGAUAUGUCUGUGCAAAGCUCAUCGACUGGGUUUUAGUGGGUCUGAUUGUCUUUCACCACAAAAACCGAGAUUAAAAGACAACUAAGCAUGUAGAUUUAUUAUGGCUCUGUUCUUUGGACGCGGGUUCGAUCCCCGCCACCUCCACCA